UUGUUGGAAGUAAAAGUCGUAACAAGGUUUCGGUAGGUGACCUUGCGGAGGAACAAUUA
RNAcentral lists this ribosomal RNA (59 nucleotides) under uncultured Termitomyces. RNAcentral describes it as "partial 18S ribosomal RNA". Lineage: Eukaryota; Fungi; Basidiomycota; Agaricomycetes; Agaricales; Lyophyllaceae. The record is from RNAcentral.